Molecule: ribosomal RNA, 334 nt
Filed under: uncultured eukaryote
Lineage: Eukaryota
Description: partial 18S ribosomal RNA
Rfam family: Eukaryotic small subunit ribosomal RNA
Source: RNAcentral
CCCUUAGAUGUCCGGGGCCGCACGCGCGCUACACUGAAGGGAUCAGCGUGGCUUUCUCCCUGACCCGAAAGGGUUGGGAAACCCGUUGAAUCUCCUUCGUGAUAGGGAUUGGGGCUUGAAAUUGUUCCCCAUGAACGAGGAAUUCCCAGUAAGCGCGAGUCAUAAGCUCGCGUUGAUUACGUCCCUGCCCUUUGUACACACCGCCCGUCGCUACUACCGAUUGAACGGUUUAGUGAGGGCCUCGGAUUGGUCUCGGCCCGCUCUUUACCGGGCGGCGCCGUUGGUCGAGAAGACGCUCGAACUUGAUCGUUUAGAGGAAGUAAAAGUCGUAACA